AAAGGUUGCAAGAUGCAACGAAAAUUUUAGAAAAAUAAAAAAGAAGUGGAAAAUUUACCAUGGAACACACAAAAGUGAAAAAUAAAAUUUAUAUGGAAGCUUUCAUCUUGUCAACAAAAAGUAUGUCUCAGAAGAAGAAAGAAGACAAUCAAACAUUUCAAUCAUAAGUUUGUUUAUCAUGGUAUCAAAUUUGAAAAUAAACACAAUAUAUCUUAUAAUCUGAUAGAUAGAAAAUGUUUAUUUUUAUUUUUCUACUUAUUAUUUAAUAUCAGAUGAUAUUGCAAACUAGAGCUCAACAUCCCAAGAUAUUUACAACUGUGGUAGCAUUUCUUUAGAUAAAUUAUUGUUUUUUAUACCUGUUGUACUGAGUUCAUCCUACUAUGUUCUACACCAGCAGCUCCCAGGGCCUCAUGCCACCUUCAAGCAUCCUUCCAGUGGCCCUUCACAGUCUUCCCUUUAUAAAUAUAAAUUUUUCUCUAA
Molecule: long non-coding RNA, 480 nt
Organism: Octopus sinensis (East Asian common octopus)
Lineage: Eukaryota; Metazoa; Mollusca; Cephalopoda; Octopoda; Octopodidae
Exons: 2
Source: RefSeq, a predicted model, not a curated record